GACGAACGCUGGCGGCGUGCCUAAUACAUGCAAGUAGAACGCUGAAGGAGGAGUUUGCCCUUCUGGAUGAGUCGCGCACGGGUGAGUAACGCGUAGGUAACCUGCCUGGUAGCGGGGGAUAACUAUUGGAAACGAUAGCUAAUACCGCAUAACAGUAGAUGUUGCAUGACAUUUGCUUAAAAGGUGCAAUUGCACCACUACCAGAUGGACCUGCGUUGUAUUAGCUAGUUGGGGGGGUAACGGCUCACCAAGGCGACGAUUCAGAGCCGACCUGAGAGGGGUGUCGGCCAAACUGGGACUGAGACACGGCCCAGACUCCCACGGGAGGGAGCAGGAGGGAAUCUUCGGCAAUGGACGGAAGUCUGGCCGAGCAACGCCGCGUGAGUGGAGAAGGUUUUCGGAACGUAAAGCUCUGUUGUAAGGGGAGAACGAGUGGGAGGGUGGAAACUUCACACUGUGACGGUAUCUUACCAGAAAGGGACGGCUAACUACGUG
Molecule: ribosomal RNA, 495 nt
Filed under: uncultured bacterium
Lineage: Bacteria
Description: partial 16S ribosomal RNA
Rfam family: Bacterial small subunit ribosomal RNA
Source: RNAcentral